RNAcentral lists this ribosomal RNA (268 nucleotides) under uncultured bacterium. RNAcentral's name for it is "partial 16S ribosomal RNA". It matches the Rfam family "Bacterial small subunit ribosomal RNA", at positions 524 to 787 of the family's 1533-position model. The record is from RNAcentral.
UACGAAGGGGCUAGCGUUGCUCGGAAUCACUGGGCGUAAAGGGUGCGUAGGCGGGUCUUUAAGUCAGGGGUGAAAUCCUGGAGCUCAACGUCCAGAACUGCCUUUGAUAACUGAAGAUCUUGAGUUCGGAGAGGUGAGUGGAACUGCGAGUGUAGAGGUGAAAUUCGUAGAUAUUCGCAAGAACACCAGUGGCGAAGGCGGCUCACUGGCCCGAGUACUGACGCUGAGGGACGAAAGCUAGGGGAGACGAAAGGGAUUAGGAUAAGCC